This 545-nucleotide unclassified non-coding RNA is filed under the name Hevea brasiliensis (rubber tree). Lineage: Eukaryota; Viridiplantae; Streptophyta; Magnoliopsida; Malpighiales; Euphorbiaceae. The record is from RNAcentral.
GAAAAACUGGGGAAAAACUACAGCCUCACUGAGAUGUCUCGCAUGAUUGCUUGUGCUGCUGCUUGUGUUCGGCACUCGGCUAAGCGUCGGCCACGAAUGAGUCAGAUUGUCCGGGCCCUAGAAGGAGAUGUAUCGCUCGAGGAUCUCAACGAAGGCGUGCGACCCGGUCACAGUAGGCCCUUCGGUUCAUAUGCCAGCUCCGAUUACGAUUCCAGCCAGUACAACGAGGACAUGAAGAAGUUCAGAAAAAUGGCACUAGCAAGCCGAGACUAUGCUAGUAGCGAGUACAGCGCGCCGACCAGUGAAUACGGUCAGGUCCUCUCAGCAUCCAGCAGUGAAGCACAGGACACCCAAGAUAUAGAAUUGAUGAAGAUGAAAAGCAAUAUUCAAGGAUUCAUCAACUCCUGAAACUUCCACCGGUGACUGUUGUAAAAUUCCUUACCCUAAUUCUUUAUUUUCCCCAUUUUUCCAUGUGGGCUUUUAUUAUUUUGUGUGGAAUAUAUGCAAUGUGCAGGCCUAAAAUUUAGGUUUCGAAAUUUUCAGAC